AACGAGGCCGACCUGCGGCUGAGUUACCUGCGGAGGGAUCAUUACCGAGUGUGGCCCCCCCCCAAAAAAAAGGGGGGUACCUCCCGUCCUUUGCAGGGCCCUUUAGGGCUUUUUGAACUUUGCUUCGGCGGGGUUAUCCCGCCGGAACACCCUCAAGAAAAUCUUUUAUAAACUGUUGUCUGAGUUACUUUGCGAAAUAAAACAAAACUUUUAACAACGGAUCUCAGAUCGGAAGAGCAC
Molecule: unclassified non-coding RNA, 240 nt
Filed under: soil metagenome
Description: partial contains 5.8S ribosomal RNA, internal transcribed spacer 2, and large subunit ribosomal RNA
Source: RNAcentral